UUCUGACCGUAAACGAUGCCAACUAGCGAUCCGCCGGCGGCUUCUCGGCCCUGGUGGGGAGCUUCCCGGAAACGAAAGUCUUCCGGUUCCGGGGGAAGUAUGGUUGCAAAGCUGAAACUUAAAGGAAUUGACGGAAGGGCACCACCAGGAGUGGAGCCUGCGGCUUAAUUUGACUCAACACGGGGAAACUCACCCGGCCCGGACACCGUGAGGAUUGACAGAUUGAUAGCUUUUUCAUGAUUCGGUGGUUGGUGGUGCAUGGCCGUUCUUAGUUCGUGGAUCGAUUUGUCUGGUUUAUUCCGAUAACGAGCGAGACUCCAGCCUACUAACUAGUGCGGGCAUUGCCUCUGUGCUUGUCACUUCUUAGAGGGAUUGGCUGCGCCUAGCGGCACGAAACGGAGCAAUAACAGGUCUGUGAUGCCCUUAGAUGUCCGGGGCUGCACGCGCGCUACACUGGCAAAGGCAGCGUGCUUGUCCGCCUCCGAAAGGAGCCGGUAAACCCUUGAAAAUUUGCCGUGAUUGGGAUCGGAAAUUGCAAUUAUUUUCCGUGAACGAGGAAUUCCUAGUAAGUGCGAGUCAUCAGCUCGCGUUGAUUACGUCCCUGCCCUUUGUACACACCGCCCGUCGCUGCCUAGAACUGAGCCAUUUCGAGAAUAUUCGGGAUCGCUGGUUGCGCGUCCUUCGGGGCGCGCCUCUGGCAAGAGAACGAACGUAAUCGCAGUGGCUUGAACCGGGCAAAAGU
This 742-nucleotide ribosomal RNA is filed under the name Ogma seymouri. RNAcentral describes it as "SSU rRNA". It matches the Rfam family "Eukaryotic small subunit ribosomal RNA", at positions 1024 to 1789 of the family's 1831-position model. The record is from RNAcentral. Lineage: Eukaryota; Metazoa; Nematoda; Chromadorea; Rhabditida; Criconematidae.